Anopheles bellator is the source of this 3266-nucleotide RNA transcript. It is a transcript of the gene named PDF receptor, with no coding region annotated. NCBI's taxonomy places the organism in Eukaryota, Metazoa, Arthropoda, Insecta, Diptera, Culicidae. The transcript has 12 exons. The record is from RefSeq and is a predicted model, not a curated record.
CACAGAGUGUGUGCGCAGUGUAGUGCCAAAGCCCGGCCAGUCGCCGAAGUGUCCGUGCCGAACACGUGCUUCCGCUGAUAACGGACCACGGUGGCAGGCAGUCCUUUUAGCCGGUUCGUGUCCCAGUCUCCCUUCGGCGAUAGAACUCGGACUCGGACUCAAAUAUUCGCCAACAACAGCCCAUGUUGCAAUUUGCACGAGGUCGCCGUGACCGUUUAAAAUUCAACACCAGCCGUCACCGCACGCGACUGUAACAGUGCUCUCUAAAGUGUCCAAACUGAAGCCCACAGUGUAGGACGGUUGUGAGUCGAAUCUGCAUCUGCUCUGGGGGGGCCGGAAGUGCAAUCAAUCGAAGAUAGAAAAAAUAAGUGCAAAAGGCGGCCCGGUGGCCAAUCAAUAGUAGAUCACCUCUCGGCGGGUGGCCGCCCUGUGCGCCCAAACUGCACGUACUGCACGAGUGCACCGGAGUCCUUGGUGUAACUUGGUGCUCCAUACGGAACCGGCGAAAUGGCGAAACGUGGCAAUGAGUGAAGCGAGUGUCCCUAGCGCCCCAAGCAACGAUUCCAGGAAGCAACAUUCGCCCGAAAUCCGCCGCCCCCGAAGGACCUUAGUGGCCACCAGCGCUCCUGCAGUCGGAAUUUGACUGAUCCCAGAAGCUUCCCCAGCUCCCCGUGGGUUAACUAUUGGCAGAGUUCCCCGACGAAUAUGGGCCACUGCUUGGAGUAGCGUAAAAUUGGAAAAUUCUUUCGGCCCAAACCAGAAAAGCAACCAGGACUCCAAUCCUGGCGACGGUCACGUUACGGUCACCGCACACCGGUCACUGCGCGACACACAGGGACGCGUAAGUAACGUGCCGCAACAGCGGCCGAUUCCGUCGUACGAAGCUCAGCACCGGUGCCCAGCUCCGCCCGCCCGAGAUAUGGUCCGUCAUGGUGUCAACAAUUGGUGGCCCAUCUACUGUCGCUGCUGCUGCUGGCGCUGCUGCUACCGCUGCUGCCGUUACGGCGGCGAUCUCCAGCAGCACCGAUGCAACGCAGCUGUUCAUCAACACAACGCUUGACUCAUGUGCCCUUAAGUAUGAAGAGUUCGUUAUACCAACCACAGUUCCUUACUGCAACUGGACGUGGGAUAGCAUUCUGUGCUGGCCACCAACGCCGGCCAAUUUGACAAUAAGACAGCGAUGCCCUCCAGCACACGGAAUCGAUACCUCAAAGUUCGCCGAGCGACGAUGCAGUGCCGAGGGCCAGUGGGAAGGCAGACCGGGCACCCCACCGACCCUUUCCGGAUGGACCAACUAUACGCCCUGUUACAGCCCGGAAGUUAUACAACUGUUUAGAAAACUUUACGCCGGCGGCAGCGACGACGAAGCGAAUGUUAAAAUUGACAUUGCAGAGCGGACGCGUACGCUGGAGACCGUAGGAUUUAGCCUUUCCCUCGCAGCGCUGAUUAUUUCCUUGAUAAUAUUCUGCAAAUUCCGCGGGCUGCGGAACAACCGGACAAGAAUACACAAAAAUCUGUUCGUCGCCAUGGUGAUACAAGUGGUGAUCCGACUAACGCUAUACAUCGACCAAGCGAUCAUACGCAGUGGCGUGAAGAAGUUUGGCAACGAAAGUUCGCGGCAAGGAAUCGACAACACGCCAUUUUUGUGCGAAGCAUCGUACGUUCUGCUGGAGUACGCCAGGACCUGCAUGUUCAUGUGGAUGUUUAUAGAAGGAUUAUAUUUACACAACGUUGUCACGGUUACAGUAUUCCAAGGGAGGUUUCCCCAUACGUUUUAUGCUGCCGUUGGCUGGGGCGGACCGAUAGUGCUGACGGUCAUCUGGGCCAUCACGACCGCGCAGUACAUCCGGCAGCAGAAAUGCUGGUGGGGAUACAACCUGACGCCUUAUUACUGGAUUCUGGAAGGUCCAAGACUAGCAGUAGUCGUGUUGAAUUUCAUAUUUUUACUUAACAUUAUAAGAGUACUGAUCGUAAAGUUACGCCAAAGUCACACCAGCGACGUGGAGCAGGUUCGUAAAGCGGUCCGGGCGGCAGUCGUGCUCGUGCCACUGCUGGGUAUCACCAACAUACUCAACAUGACGCAGGCCCCUCUGGACAAGACGGCUCUGGAGUUUGCCAUCUGGUCGUACGUGACCCAUUUUCUCACCUCCUUCCAAGGAUUCUUCAUAGCGCUGCUGUACUGCUUCCUCAACGGUGAGGUUCGUACGGCGCUCAUGAAGAGCAUAAGCGUUUAUCUAUCGCUCCGCGGUCAUCACGAUUGGGCAGUGCGUAGACAGUCGCUCUUCUCGGCCGGCUAUCCGACGGCUCCCGUCAUUGAUGCACCACAACACACGGUAGACACCAAUCGAAUCGCUGCCCGAAACGCCACCGAUAACCUGCUGGCGACCGGUGGCAACAACAAACACACCGCCAACGGAGGUUCAACCAGCAAUGGAGGCAACUGCAGCGGUGGUAACGGCUGGUUCAGCCGUUGGUUUUUAGUACAAAAAAAUGUCAAUCCGGCCGCCCCGGAACCGGCGCCACCCGAGUCAGUGGUUUUCGAUAUUUCCGAUUAACGUCAUCCGUCCUUCUGUUCCGUUCUGUUUCGUUUCGUGUCACACUUUAUCGUUUCCUGACCAGUGUGUGAUGGCCUGUUCCGGAAAGCGGUGGAGCAACACGCACGAUUAUCGAAGAGACUUUUCGUACAGCUUUACUCGAUGACGAGCAUCAUCAUCAUAAUCACCAACCAGAGCAACUUUCAUGGGAGUGCGCACCAGAGAACGUAGUAUUUAGCGCUUCCGCCAUCAUGGACGAACCGCGGGACACAUACGCAGAGUAAUUUUACACAACGAUGCACCACGCGCUACCGUGCCCGCGUACGGUAUCCGAUUUGUUCCGAGAAGCCUGCUUUUUAAUUCUGUGCGCCGCGUGGCGCACGAAGGUGUCAGUAGUUAGUAAGAAAAUGAGCGAUGGUCUGAUCAUUGCGAUGCAACCGACGAACGAAUCAAAUUAUGAUAUACAAAUUUGCCGGCGGAAAACGCUUUGUACGCGCCCCACUUGCUGCACUGCAUAAGUACAUAAUAUAUUUUUGCGAUUGCGUGUAACAAAAGGGCCUGCGAACCAAAUGUCGAUUGAUUUUUGUCGAUUUCAUAUCUGUCGUCGUGUCGGGUGAUAAAAGAGUAAAACUAUUUGCCGCACAACAAACCGGAGGGGCAAACACGGCGCACGAGAAUCCACACGGAUUUGAGGCGUUCUUUGAUUAAUUUAUAUUUAAGAAAACUGUAAUU